Vulpes vulpes (red fox) is the source of this 100-nucleotide ribosomal RNA. NCBI's taxonomy places the organism in Eukaryota, Metazoa, Chordata, Mammalia, Carnivora, Canidae. The record is from Ensembl.
GUCUAUGGCCCUAUAACCCUGAACACACCUGAUCUCAGAAGCCAAGCAGGGUAGGGGCCUGGUUGGUACUUGCCUGGGAGAAACCUAUCACUUGUAAGCA